RNAcentral lists this ribosomal RNA (789 nucleotides) under uncultured marine eukaryote. RNAcentral's name for it is "SSU rRNA". It matches the Rfam family "Eukaryotic small subunit ribosomal RNA", at positions 64 to 870 of the family's 1831-position model. The record is from RNAcentral.
UAUAAGUGUUAUACAGCGAAACUGCGAAUGGCUCAUUAAAACAGUUAUAGUUUAUUUGAUAAUCGAAUUUACAUGGAUAACCGUGGUAAUUCUAGAGCUAAUACAUGCUGGUAUGCCCGACUUUUGCGGAAGGGCGGUAUUUAUUAGAUAACAAGCCAAUAUUCCUCUGGUCUAUUGUGGUGACUCAUAAUAACUGAUCGAAUCGCAAGGCCUUUGGCCGCGAUAAAUCAUUCAAGUUUCUGCCCCAUCAGCUUUCGAUGGUAGUGUAUUGGACUACCAUGGCGUUUACGGGUAACGGAGGAUUAGGGUUCGAUUCCGGAGAGGGAGCCUGAGAAACGGCUACCACAUCUAAGGAAGGCAGCAGGCGCGUAAAUUACCCAAUCCUGACUCAGGGAGGUAGUGACAAGAAAUAACGGACCGGUUCCUUCGGAUUCGGGAUUGCAAUGAGCCGAAUUUACACCCCUUAGCGAGGAUCGAUUGGAGGGCAAGUCUGGUGCCAGCAGCCGCGGUAAUUCCAGCUCCAAUAGCGUAUAUUAAAGUUGUUGCAGUUAAAAAGCUCGUAGUUGGAUUUCUGGGAGGGUGCCAAUGUCCGUCGUCGUACGUGUUGCAGCGGCGCCCUUCCAUCCUUCUGUUAACGACUUUGGGCAUUCAUUUGCCGGAGUCGGGCUCAGAUAUUUUACCUUGAGAAAAUUAGAGUGUUUCAGGCAGGCUAGGCCGGAAUACAUUAGCAUGGAAUAAUGGAAUAGGACUACGGUCUCUUUGUUGGUUUGAGGGACUGCAGUAAUGAUU